UGUAGACUGGAAGUCCAUAUUUUAUUUCUCUAGUGACAUAUUUACAGUUCAAUAUAAAUUAAAGGCCUGCUUGUAUGCCAAAUCCAGGUCCCUUGGGUGGUUCAGUCAAAGGGGUAAGACCUCCAGCUGGCUCACAAGAGAAGCGUCCACUCCUUGGCCCAGGUUUUGGGAUUUUGCCAGCCUUGAGCUCAUCAAUAAUUUCUUCAAUAUCCUUAGCUGUCAAAUCUUCAUAGUAAUUGUCAUUUAUUUGAACCAUUGGUGCGUUCACACAGGCCCCUAAACAUUCCACUUCUACAAGAGUGAAAAGUUUGUCAGGUGUAGUCUCCCCAAGCUUUAUUCCAAGCUUUUUCUGAAUGGCCUCCAGUAUGCUGUCAGAGUUUGGAAGCAUGCAGGGUGUAGUAGUGCAGACCUGAAUGUGAUACUUUUCAACUGGCUUUCGAUUAUACAUUGUAUAAAAAGUUGCUACUUCAUAUACUCUUAUUGGAGGUACUUGUAAAACUUCUGCAACCUUGUUCAUAGCAGAGAUGGGCAACCACCCAUUCUGCCUUUGGGCUAAAUCCAGGACUGGAAGAACAGCUGCUGCUUUAUGGCCUUCUGGAUAGUUUUUUACAAUUGCCUCUAUCCUCUUAAAUAAAGCUCCUCCAGCUCCAUUUUGCAUAGCUGUCUUAUGCAAUUC
RNAcentral lists this long non-coding RNA (676 nucleotides) under Homo sapiens (human). RNAcentral's name for it is "non-protein coding lnc-VN1R2-1:2". The record is from RNAcentral. Lineage: Eukaryota; Metazoa; Chordata; Mammalia; Primates; Hominidae.